Carassius gibelio (silver crucian carp) is the source of this 4698-nucleotide RNA transcript. RefSeq lists it as uncharacterized. The transcript is spliced from 5 exons. The record is from RefSeq and is a predicted model, not a curated record. Lineage: Eukaryota; Metazoa; Chordata; Actinopteri; Cypriniformes; Cyprinidae.
GGCAAAGUAGGUAAUCUCCCUCCCCUGGUACUUAGAAACGGCCUAUCAGGGCUCAGUCAUUGCUUUAUAAAGGCUGUGAUUAGGCUACCUGGGAUGCGUCAUUGUUGGCCCCGCCCAUCCGGUACGUGUGCGCUUCCGCCUAACAAAGCUGGAGUCGCCUUUUUGCAGCUUGAAUAGCCCAUUAUUCCUGGCUUCGCUGUGGUUUUCAGGCUGUUCUUGCCACCUGGUUAGACUGAUUUCAUUCAAGUAAUCUUCUGAGACUUGUGCUGUGAGCAACUGUAUGAGGUGUGUGUAACGCUGUAGUCAAUACCUGUAGGACAAAGUUUUGGGAACGUCCGCCUGUUUGCGGGUGGGGAAGAUCGCCUCCUGCAUAAUAGUAGAUUAAAGACGGCGUUGCUGUUUUGCUGUUUUGCUGUUUUGCUGUUUUGCUGUUUUGCUGUUUAAUUAAGUUUUGUUGUGCUCGUAUCAUUGUAUGGUUUUUGGUUAUUGUUUGUUUUCGUUACAAUUGAUUUUUGUUUGAUUUUGAUUUUGUAGUGAUUGUUAAAACUUUUGCUUUAAAUAUAUAUUUCUUUCCUUUUCAUUUCAGUUUUCUUUAAGUGACCAUUGUUCAUUUUUUUUACAUUUUGUUGUGUGUUUUGGUAAUUGUUUCAGUCAAUCAGGCUUUAGAUUAAUUUCGUUUUGUACAUUUGAGUAAUUUGUGUUCUUUGUGUUUUAGGCCCCUGAGUCGGGUGGCUAGCUGUCCUAGUAUCCUGGUGGUGGUGGUGUUUGGAGCACGGAGUGUGGAUUGUCGUUUGUAGUCACUCACCUCACUGUGUGUGUGUGUGUGUGUGUGCUUUUACGAAUAGCCACUUUUGCAGCUAGCCUACCCUGCUAGGGGUAAGCCUUCGUAAAACUGAUUAAUGUAUGCCUGGUCGAAUCAUAUCUUUGCCUAAACUUUUAAAAGGUGUAUUUUCUACUUUGUGAAUUUAAUAAAUAGUUUUAUACGCUAGUGCCUCUGUCUCUGCCUCCUAUGGUAACGAACCUGUGUGUCUAAAUUCCAUCAAGUAUUUAGUUCCCCUCACUUUAGAGGGGUGGCGUAGUCGGUAGUUAUAUCAUAAUUAAUUAACUUCAAGUUGCCACGCCCACAUUCUGGCGUAGUCGGCAGGGUACCGUGUUUGGCGGAGACACUGGUAUUAGUGGUUGUAUUUUUUUUGUUUGUUCUUUUUCUUUUAUUUUUCUGUUGCAGUGAGAUUGGUAAAGAGUAGCAGCAAAACAGCAGCGCACGUCUGGUGGAUUCUUAUUCUUUGUGAGUCUACUCCCUCUUGUUGGUAAGUGUUACGGCCGUCAAAAUUAUGGAAGAAGAGUUACAGGAAUUGAGGGAAGUAGUAGCUCAGUUGCGGGCAGAAAAUGAGAGGUUGCGUCAAGACCACUUUCUUGCGCUUCCUGGCCCUAGUGAUGCCCCUUCUAUUGUUCCUGGUCCUUCUGUUGCUGCCCCCCCUCAGCUAAGUAGUGCACAGGCAGUCCUGCCAGAACGAUUCGUUCUUGUACCUCGAGACAGGAAAUGUCAAAAAUUCAAUGGCAGGGUUGGUCUGAGCAUUGAUGAGUGGGUUGAAGAGGCCAAAGCUUGUAUGCAGGCUCGUCACCUGUCUGUUUCUGAUCAAGCUUUCUUCUUGUUUGACCACUUGGAGGGGGAGGCAAGGGAAGAGAUUAGGUACCGUUCGGAGAUUGAGCGAAAUGAUCCAGAUAAAAUUAUUUUGGUGUUACGGGAAUUAUAUGGUUGCUCACAGUCAUAUGUCUCAUUACAGGAGGCAUUUUUUUCUAGAAAGCAGCAGGAGGGUGAAUCAUUGUUGGAGUUUUCCCUAGCUUUGAUGGGUCUCCUAGAACGUGUGACGCAGCGAUCGCCGUAUGUUAUGCCAAAUUCACAAAUUUUGCUACGCGAUCAGUUCAUUGAACAUGUUUGUGACGUGGCUCUUCGCCGAGAAUUAAAACAGUUAAUAUGUCGUCAGCCAAUGUUAACAUUGUUGGAAGUUCGAAGCGAAGCUCUUAGAUGGGAAAGGGAGGGGAUGUUGGGGAGUACGAGAGGACGAAGCAAUUCCGUUCCAUCCGCCUAUGGGAUCCAGUAUGGUGUACAAGGUGAGUCACGGGUGGGUAGAUUUCCUCAGUCACGUAGUCAGCCUCCUCACCGCGGCCCCAUUAUAUGUAGGAGGUGCCAACGACUUGGCCACUUUGCUGGAGAGUGCGAUGGGGAGCGUGUUCCCCCUCGUCCGCAACCCCCUUUGCCCACUGCGUCGUCAUCUGAGGGUAUACAGCCUGGUCCAUCUGCGUUGUCGGGAAACUAGUCCCCACCGUGUCGCCGAGCCAAGGCGCGGUUGGGGAAUUGACCGGCUCUAGUGUUUCAAGUAUGUCUCAUUUAAUGUCUUCAUGCCCGCACCUUGCUAUUCGAAUGGGUGGGGUCCAAAUUUCAUGUUUGGUCGAUACUGGCUCCAUGGUGUCCACAAUAACGGAAAGUUGGUUUCGUAAAUAUUUUGAACCAUGGGGUCCGGAUCGACUUAAGUCGUGCCAGUGGCUACAACUUCGGGCUGCAAACGGUCUUUCGAUUCCAUAUAUUGGCUACAUGGAACUGGAUGUCGAAUUGUGUGGGCAAGUGAUUUCGGAGUGUGGAGUGCUUGUUGUUCGGGACCCUCCUGGUGGGAUUUGUGACCAAGUCCCAGGGGUACUCGGGAUGAAUGUCCUGAGCCGUUGUUACCAGGAGUUAUUCGGACAACAUGGCCCUGCUCUUUUUGAGUCUGCUGUAACCGUUGAGGCCCCUAGCUUUGUCAUGCAGGCACUUCAAUAUUGUCACCGUUUGGAAGACCAGGGUUCAGUAAGGCACCCUGGUCCGGUUAGGUUACGGGGUCGUGAGUCAUGUCGCAUCCCAGCUGGCACGAUGAAGUUUGUAGCAGCGACUUGUUCUGAACAAUGUGCAGCGGGGGUGGUACUGUUUGAGCCCCCAGAGUCUGGGUUGCCCGCGGGUUUGUUGGCUUCUCCAGCGCUGGUACAGGUCAUAAGAGGCAUUGCCUACUUGCCUAUGGUAAAUGUGGGAACUGCGGAUGUUAUGCUGCAUUCUAAAACCGUUUUGGGAGUGCUAAAUAGUGUUUGUAUGGUAAGUCUGCCUGCUAGGGUAACUGAAGUGAAAUCUGGUGUAGCCAUCAUGGCAAGAGGACCUGUUUCAAGGGUCUCUAGUGUUUCUUGUUGUGUAGCCGUCAAGGCCAGAGGACUUGUACCAAGUUUCUCGUGUUUCUUGUUGAGUAGCCGUCAUGGCAAGAGGACUUGUACGAAGUAUCUCGUGUUUCUCAUGGUGUAGCCAUCAUGGCAAGAGGACCUGUUUCAAGGGUCUCUAGUGUUUCUUGUUGUGUAGCCGUCAAGGCCAGAGGACUUGUACCAAGUUUCUCGUGUUUCUUGUUGAGUAGCCGUCAUGGCAAGAGGACUUGUACGAAGUAUCUCGUGUUUCUCAUGGUGUAGCCAUCAUGGCAAGAGGACCUGUUUCAAGGGUCUCUAGUGUUUCCUGUUGUGUAGCUGUUGUGGCAGAGCACUUGUAACAAGUGUCUCUAGUGUUUCUUGUUGUGUAGCCGUCAAGGCCAGAGGACUUGUACCAAUGGUCUCUCUGUAUUCGCUCUACUAGCUUCCCAUAGCGAAGGUGAGUGUCUUGGGGUUAUCGUCGGGGCGACGAUAAAAUAGCUGGGGCAGAUUGUGGCAAAGUAGGUAAUCUCCCUCCCCUGGUACUUAGAAACGGCCUAUCAGGGCUCAGUCAUUGCUUUAUAAAGGCUGUGAUUAGGCUACCUGGGAUGCGUCAUUGUUGGCCCCGCCCAUCCGGUACGUGUGCGCUUCCGCCUAACAAAGCUGGAGUCGCCUUUUUGCAGCUUGAAUAGCCCAUUAUUCCUGGCUUCGCUGUGGUUUUCAGGCUGUUCUUGCCACCUGGUUAGACUGAUUUCAUUCAAGUAAUCUUCUGAGACUUGUGCUGUGAGCAACUGUAUGAGGUGUGUGUAACGCUGUAGUCAAUACCUGUAGGACAAAGUUUUGGGAACGUCCGCCUGUUUGCGGGUGGGGAAGAUCGCCUCCUGCAUAAUAGUAGAUUAAAGACGGCGUUGCUGUUUUGCUGUUUUGCUGUUUUGCUGUUUUGCUGUUUUGCUGUUUAAUUAAGUUUUGUUGUGCUCGUAUCAUUGUAUGGUUUUUGGUUAUUGUUUGUUUUCGUUACAAUUGAUUUUUGUUUGAUUUUGAUUUUGUAGUGAUUGUUAAAACUUUUGCUUUAAAUAUAUAUUUCUUUCCUUUUCAUUUCAGUUUUCUUUAAGUGACCAUUGUUCAUUUUUUUUACAUUUUGUUGUGUGUUUUGGUAAUUGUUUCAGUCAAUCAGGCUUUAGAUUAAUUUCGUUUUGUACAUUUGAGUAAUUUGUGUUCUUUGUGUUUUAGGCCCCUGAGUCGGGUGGCUAGCUGUCCUAGUAUCCUGGUGGUGGUGGUGUUUGGAGCACGGAGUGUGGAUUGUCGUUUGUAGUCACUCACCUCACUGUGUGUGUGUGUGUGUGUGUGCUUUUACGAAUAGCCACUUUUGCAGCUAGCCUACCCUGCUAGGGGUAAGCCUUCGUAAAACUGAUUAAUGUAUGCCUGGUCGAAUCAUAUCUUUGCCUAAACUUUUAAAAGGUGUAUUUUCUACUUUGUGAAUUUAAUAAAUAGUUUUAUACGCUA